UGCCUGUGGGUCAAGAUGUGAGAACUCUCAGCUGUUUGUCCAGCACCGUGUCUACCUACUUGUCACCAUGCUUCCCACCGUGAUGAUAAUGGGCUAAACCUCUGAACUGAGAUGACUCAGUGGAUAAAGUGCUUGAGGACACCAGCAUAAGGACCCAAGCUUGGAUUCCCCGCACCCCUGUGAAGCCAGGCACAAAAGUACACAUCUGUAUAGCCGCACCUCUGCAGGUACAAAACAAGGCUGAAUUUUCCAUGAUGUGGGUAGCGGUGGCCAAGGAAGGAGGUGAGCAAUGGCCAAGGAAGGAGGUGAGCAAUGGCCAAGGAAGGAGGUGAGCGAUGUGUCCACCCAGAUUCCUGCUGAGUUGAUGGAAGCCUUUCCUGUCUGACCUGCCCUGAGGAAGGAUUGCCUGCUGAGGCACGUAUUGAUGACUGGGGGAGACAGGACUGAGAGGAUGAUGGGAAAGGACCUGCAGACAUGCAGGGGAAAUCCAGAGGAUGAAGGUUCAGUGUGGCAAUUGCUGAAUUUAAGCGGGAGUUCUUCAGAAUGUUUUUUAGGGGUCAUUGACCUCAACAUAGGAGAUGACUGUGGUGGGGUGGCUCAGCCAACUAUGAGUGCUGCUCCCCCCAGGCAGUGGUCCUGGGUUGUAUAAGAAAGCAAGCUGAGCAAGCCAAGGAGAAGAGCCAGUGAGCAGCGUCCUCCACGAUUCCUGCCUCAGCUUCUGCUUGAGUUUCUGCCCUGAUGGAGUGUGAUGGAGAUGGACACUAUGACCGUUAUUCUGGGCUGUCAACUGGACUGGAUGGAUCUGGACUCAACUAAGAGACAAGUUGCCAGGCAUACUUGGGAGAGACUUUGGACCAGGGUAUUUGGAAUGGGAAGACCCACCACAAAUGUGGACGGCCCCUCCGGUGGAAGCUUGGCUUUUUCCUCACUGUCUUUCAUUCUUACUGUGAGGUCACCUGCUCCCUCACGGCAGCCCCUGCGGCU
This 984-nucleotide long non-coding RNA is filed under the name Cricetulus griseus (Chinese hamster). Its description in RNAcentral is "lncRNA (ENSCGRG00015031789.1)". The record is from RNAcentral. Lineage: Eukaryota; Metazoa; Chordata; Mammalia; Rodentia; Cricetidae.